AAAUCCUUUUGUCAAAUAUUCUGUAAAGUUGGAGCUGUUUCCUUUGACCUCUAAAUUUUAUAUCUCUGAUGAGGACUUGAAGAAAUAGAAAACAGAGAGCCAGAAUCUGAGCUCAGUUACCCGAGAGAAUAUCAGAAGUGUCUUCACCGAAGCCAACUGGCUGUGAGUCUAUUUCAUUGUAUUUAUACUCAUGUAACUGAGUUUUAUUUUGCUGCAACUGAGAUCAGGAUCUGCCCUUUGAUGUAUACAUUUGUGGCACCCAUGUUUGGAGAUGUCGAUCUGUUUCAAAACAACUGUACCUGUAUAAAUACUGCUUGAAGUGAUACAUCUGCAAAAUGCCUGAGGAAAAGAAGGUGUUCUUUUCAAUUGAUUCUCCAAUGAAAUCAACAUGGAUUCAGAAAAGAUGCUUUUACACAACUCUCUGUCAGUUUGGAAAGUUUGUUAAAGUUCAUGAAGGCCAGAAAACCUCCUGUGUGACUGGAUCACAUUCCUUUCUCGGAUUUAUUCUAUGGGGAACAAUGGUGAAAGAAUGAGUGAAUUGACCUUUUCUAGUUCUAAUCUUCUGAUUAUGUAAUGUACUGCACUGUUUCUUGUUUAAUCAUUUCCCCUUGUUUCUUGCUUUAAAAGGGUGAUUGAGAAUGAUUUGCCUUUUAGAAUCAGUGCAUCUAAAGAAGUGAACAAUGAUUUUCAUCUUUUAAAGGUAACUAAAGAUUGAGAGAAAUCAUUUGGCACAUCAUUAAUAUAGAAGUGUUUACUGAGCACAGUGGGAAAGUACAUGUGAUUUCAUUGCUGGACUACUUUUUCAUUAGGCAGGCUAAUGCACCUGAGAGAGCUAGAAAGGAGGGCCAGAAUGAUGUUAUGCAAUUCUGCUUCACACAAAAAACCCAGCCCUAAAUUUUUAAGAUUGGAUUUAGUGCAGGGCUGUUUUUAAGGCUCAUAAGUAAAGAUAAAGUGAAACUCUGUACUUGCCAAAUCACUUUUAACUGACUAACCUCUCUAGCCCCUCUUAAAGUCUCAGACCUUCAUUUAACCAUCUAGAUCCUAUCAAAUUCAUGGAAUCCUCUAAGCAAAAAGUAAUAAAAUAUUCUCACUUCAAGUUUGUGUGUGAUCUAAUGAUUACACGGAGAGAUCAUAACUAGAGGAUAGCUAGGAGUG
This is a long non-coding RNA of Pelodiscus sinensis (Chinese soft-shelled turtle), 1155 nucleotides long. RefSeq lists it as uncharacterized. NCBI's taxonomy places the organism in Eukaryota, Metazoa, Chordata, Testudines, Trionychidae. The record is from RefSeq and is a predicted model, not a curated record.